Molecule: ribosomal RNA, 468 nt
Filed under: uncultured bacterium
Lineage: Bacteria
Description: partial 16S ribosomal RNA
Rfam family: Bacterial small subunit ribosomal RNA
Source: RNAcentral
GACGAACGCUGGCGGCGUGCUUAACACAUGCAAGUCGAACGGAAAGGCCCUGCUUUUGUGGGGUGCUCGAGUGGCGAACGGGGGAGUAACACGUGAGUAACCUGCCCUUGACUUUGGGAUAACUUCAGGAAACUGGGGCUAAUACCGGAUAGGAGCUCCUGCUGCAUGGAGGGGGUUGGAAAGUUUCGGCGGUUGGGGAUGGACGCGCGGCUUAUCAGCUUGUUGGUGGGGUAGUGGCUUACCAAGGCUUUGACGGGUAGCCGGCCUGAGAGGGUGACCGGCCACAUUGGGCCUGAGAUACGGCCCAGACUCCUACGGGAGGCAGCAGUGGGGAAUAUUGCACAAUGGGCGGAAGCCUGAUGCAGCAACGCCGCGUGCGGGAUGACGGCCUUCGGGUUGUAAACCGCUUUCGCCUGUGACGAAGCGUGAGUGACGGUAAUGGGUAAAGAAGCACCGGCUAACUACGUG